GAUCAUGGCUCAGGAUGAACGCUGGCGGCGUGCUUAACACAUGCAAGUCGAACGGAACUCCAAGGAAAGAGUUUUCGGACAAUGGAAUUGGCUGUUUAGUGGCGGACGGGUGAGUAACGCGUGAGUAACCUGCCUUGGAGUGGGGAAUAACACAGUGAAAACUGUGCUAAUACCGCAUGACAUAUUGGCGUCGCAUGGCACUGAUAUCAAAGNUUUAUCG
This 220-nucleotide ribosomal RNA is filed under the name uncultured bacterium. Its description in RNAcentral is "partial 16S ribosomal RNA". It matches the Rfam family "Bacterial small subunit ribosomal RNA", at positions 15 to 214 of the family's 1533-position model. The record is from RNAcentral.